AAAUCAAAGGGAAAAAGUGGCGGAGAACGAUGGGAAAAUAAGAAUCGAAAUGAAAAAAGAAGAGUCGCCGGCGCCGCGAGAGAGUGUGAAAGACGGAGAGAGGCGAGAGUAACGGAGCGCGGCAGGGCGCGUUGUGCCACUCAAAAAGUGGCGCCAAUUUCAAAUUUAAUUAAUUUCCAGAGGAAUUUUCGAUAUUUUUUCUAUUUUA
This is a non-coding RNA of Caenorhabditis elegans, 208 nucleotides long. NCBI's taxonomy places the organism in Eukaryota, Metazoa, Nematoda, Chromadorea, Rhabditida, Rhabditidae. The record is from Ensembl.